GUGGGGAAUUUUGGACAAUGGGCGCAAGCCUGAUCCAGCAAUGCCGCGUGCAGGAUGAAGGCCUUCGGGUUGUAAACUGCUUUUGUACGGAACGAAAAGCCCUGGGUUAAUACCCUGGGGUCAUGACGGUACCGUAAGAAUAAGCACCGGCUAACUACGUGCCAGCAGCCGCGGUAAUACGUAGGGUGCGAGCGUUAAUCGGAAUUACUGGGCGUAAAGCGUGCGCAGGCGGUUUUGUAAGACAGAGGUGACAUCCCCGGGCUCAACCUGGGAACUGCCUUUGUGACUGCAAGGCUAGAGUACGGCAGAGGGGGAUGGAAUUCCGCGUGUAGCAGUGAAAUGCGUAGAUAUGCGGAGGAACACCGAUGGCGAAGGCAAUCCCCUGGGCCUGCACUGACGCUCAUGCACGAAAGCGUGGGGAGCAAACAGGAUUAGAAACCCCUGUAGUCC
This 450-nucleotide ribosomal RNA is filed under the name uncultured bacterium. RNAcentral describes it as "partial 16S ribosomal RNA". It matches the Rfam family "Bacterial small subunit ribosomal RNA", at positions 354 to 796 of the family's 1533-position model. The record is from RNAcentral.